UACGGGAGGCAGCAGUAAGGAAUAUUGGUCAAUGGACGAAAGUCUGAACCAACCAUCCCGCGUGCAGGAUGAAGGUCCUAUGGAUUGUAAACUGCUUUUAGCAGAGAAGAAAAGCAUCCUUUU
Molecule: ribosomal RNA, 123 nt
Filed under: uncultured bacterium
Lineage: Bacteria
Description: partial 16S ribosomal RNA
Rfam family: Bacterial small subunit ribosomal RNA
Source: RNAcentral